Mastomys coucha (southern multimammate mouse) is the source of this 658-nucleotide long non-coding RNA. RefSeq lists it as uncharacterized. The transcript is spliced from 3 exons. NCBI's taxonomy places the organism in Eukaryota, Metazoa, Chordata, Mammalia, Rodentia, Muridae. The record is from RefSeq and is a predicted model, not a curated record.
CCUACCGGAUCUCCUUGCUUCAAACCAGGGUCCAGCCAGGGUUAGCUAGCUUCUUAGCGAGUGAGAGAGUUGGGGAAGGCCCUGUUGCUGCCUUUAACUUAACGAAAAGUAUAGAAAUUGAUCUACCAUAGCCCCAACCUGGCCAAAGGAGGAACAGAAUGUCGCUGUCGUUCUGUAAGCAGCUGUAUUUCUCUGACCCAAUGUGAAGGGAGUCACAGGAAGUGCAGGGACACCAGGAACUCACUGAAUGAAUAGCAGACUGCCCUCCCUCUGAUCAACAAUGGGACUGAAUUGUACCCAACCGAACAGAGCUGAGAAGUCAAGUCCUGGGGAGGAAGCCCUCGCCUGGGAGAUGUCUUAGCAGCAAAGAGGUUAGGAUUGAUCAGAAGUCACCGGGGCCUCUCUCUGUGUGACUCUCUCUCUCGUCUCUUACAGCCAGAUCUCUCUCCUGAAUGGAAGACCAACCCACCCUGCUCAUGCUCCUCCCUGGCUGGGAGUGAAAACUGCCACCCGGAGAGAGAAAAAGAAAAGGAAAGAGAGAGAGAGAUGCCAUCUUGCUCUCUGUGGACUGAAGCCUUCACAGCCUGCUGUCCCCACCUGCCCAUCCCCCACCCCCAGGCUUCGCCCAGUCUGUUAGCUCUUUGGGAAGAAUAAAAAG